Penaeus monodon (black tiger shrimp) is the source of this 202-nucleotide small nucleolar RNA. RefSeq annotates it as small nucleolar RNA U3. Lineage: Eukaryota; Metazoa; Arthropoda; Malacostraca; Decapoda; Penaeidae. The record is from RefSeq and is a predicted model, not a curated record. The transcript has a single exon.
AUGAUCAUAUUAUAGGAUCACGUAUAUAGUGCGGUUGCGGGGUUUCUGACGAGAAAUUCUCGGACUAUGUUCAACCACGAUGAGGACUGUUAGUGUAAUCCUUGAGCGGGAAGCAGCUCUCAAGCGUUUGCUGAGAGAUUUGAAAUGACCGUUUCUGACCGGUGACGAUGUUUAGAGGAUGGAUUCACACAGGCCGGGAUGU